This 105-nucleotide ribosomal RNA is filed under the name uncultured bacterium. RNAcentral describes it as "partial 16S ribosomal RNA". It matches the Rfam family "Bacterial small subunit ribosomal RNA", at positions 355 to 458 of the family's 1533-position model. The record is from RNAcentral.
UAGGGAAUUUUCGUUCAAUGGGCGCAAGCCUGAACGAGCAAUGCCGCGUGAGUGAGGAAGGUCUUCGGAUCGUAAAGCUCUGUUGCAGGUCAGAAAGAAGGGAAG